UUUUUAAAUUGAGAGUUUGAUCCUGGCUCAGGAUGAACGCUGGCGGCGUGCCUAAUACAUGCAAGUCGUACGCUAGCCGCUGAAUUGAUCCUUCGGGUGAAGUGAGGCAAUGACUAGAGUGGCGAACUGGUGAGUAACACGUAAGAAACCUGCCCUUUAGUGGGGGAUAACAU
RNAcentral lists this ribosomal RNA (173 nucleotides) under Oenococcus oeni. RNAcentral's name for it is "partial 16S ribosomal RNA". It matches the Rfam family "Bacterial small subunit ribosomal RNA", at positions 1 to 149 of the family's 1533-position model. Lineage: Bacteria; Bacillati; Bacillota; Bacilli; Lactobacillales; Lactobacillaceae. The record is from RNAcentral.